Molecule: small nucleolar RNA, 127 nt
Filed under: Choloepus hoffmanni (Hoffmann's two-fingered sloth)
Lineage: Eukaryota; Metazoa; Chordata; Mammalia; Pilosa; Megalonychidae
Description: Small nucleolar RNA SNORA20 (ENSCHOG00000014706.1)
Rfam family: Small nucleolar RNA SNORA20
About the family: ACA20 is a member of the H/ACA class of snoRNA that guide the sites of modification of uridines to pseudouridines.
Source: RNAcentral
CUUCCCAUUUAUUUGCUGCUAUUGUCUCUCAGUGAUAUGAGCAGUUAUACGCGUGGGAUAAAUAACAUUUGGCUAUUGUAAUUGAGAUGAAGUAAUCAUUUCAUCUCUUCUGCAUGUCUAGACACUU